RNAcentral lists this signal recognition particle RNA (98 nucleotides) under Helicobacteraceae bacterium. RNAcentral describes it as "signal recognition particle sRNA small type". It matches the Rfam family "Bacterial small signal recognition particle RNA". Rfam says of the family: The signal recognition particle (SRP) is a universally conserved ribonucleoprotein involved in the co-translational targeting of proteins to membranes. Archaeal SRP consists of a 7S RNA and homologues of the eukaryotic SRP19 and SRP54 proteins. In most bacteria, the SRP consists of a 4.5S RNA and the Ffh protein (a homologue of the eukaryotic SRP54 protein). The record is from RNAcentral. Lineage: Bacteria; Pseudomonadati; Campylobacterota; Epsilonproteobacteria; Campylobacterales; Helicobacteraceae.
UUCUUAGACCCGCGCGGCGUUUUUCUAAGAAAACGAGUCAGGCGGGGAACCGAGCAGCUCCGCUUAAAAGAGCGCGCGCCGCGGCAAUCUGAGAAGAA